Molecule: ribosomal RNA, 484 nt
Filed under: uncultured bacterium
Lineage: Bacteria
Description: partial 16S ribosomal RNA
Rfam family: Bacterial small subunit ribosomal RNA
Source: RNAcentral
AUUGAACGCUGGCGGCAGGCCUAACACAUGCAAGUCGAGCGGAUGAAGGGAGCUUGCUCCUGGAUUCAGCGGCGGACGGGUGAGUAAUGCCUAGGAAUCUGCCUGGUAGUGGGGGAUAACGUCCGGAAACGGGCGCUAAUACCGCAUACGUCCUGAGGGAGAAAGUGGGGGAUCUUCGGACCUCACGCUAUCAGAUGAGCCUAGGUCGGAUUAGCUAGUUGGUGGGGUAAAGGCCUACCAAGGCGACGAUCCGUAACUGGUCUGAGAGGAUGAUCAGUCACACUGGAACUGGAACCCGAUGCAGACCACUACGGGAGGCAGCAGUAGGGAAUAGUCGACUUUGGGCGAAAGCCUGAUCCAGCCAGGCCGCGUGUGUGAAGAAGGUCCUCGGAUAGUAAAGCACUUUAAGUUGGGAGGAAGGGCAGUAAGUUGAUACCUUGCUGUUUUGACGUUACCAGCAGAAUAAGCACCGGCUAACUUCGUG